RNAcentral lists this ribosomal RNA (612 nucleotides) under Triticum aestivum (bread wheat). RNAcentral describes it as "partial small subunit ribosomal RNA". Lineage: Eukaryota; Viridiplantae; Streptophyta; Magnoliopsida; Poales; Poaceae. The record is from RNAcentral.
AUGUCCCGUUAUCGAGGACCUCGUUUAAAAAAAAUACGCCGUCUGGGAGCUUUACCAGGACUCACUAGAAAAACACCUAAAUCCGGAAGUAAUCUUAAAAAAAAAUUCAAUUCUGGGAAAAAGGAGCAAUAUCGUAUUCGUCUUCAAGAAAAACAGAAAUUGCGUUUUCAUUAUGGUCUGACAGAACGACAAUUACUUAGAUAUGUACAUAUCGCUGGAAAAGCAAAAAGGUCAACAGGCCAGGUUUUACUACAAUUACUUGAAAUGCGUUUGGAUAAUAUCCUUUUUCGAUUGGGUAUGGCUUCAACCAUUCCUGGGGCCCGCCAAUUAGUCAACCAUAGACAUAUUUUAGUUAAUGGUCGUAUAGUCAAUAUACCAAGUUUUCGUUGCAAACCCCGAGAUAUUAUUACUACGAAAGAUAACCAAAGAUCAAAAGGUCUGGUUCAAAAUUAUAUUGCUUCAUCGGACCCAGGUGUACGUGCGUGGGAUGAGCACGGACAGGAAGAAUUUGACCUAAAGGCGUUGCUGUUUGUGACCAUCAAUGAUUGGCCUGCUCUCAGAAGAAUGUGUACCUGGGACAUCGUCGAUUUCUUCCGAGCAGGCAUCCCGUAA